GCCAGUGUGGCUCAGUGGCUAGAGCAUCAGCCUGUGGACUGAAGGGUCCCGGGUUCGAUUCUGGCCAAGGGCG
This 73-nucleotide transfer RNA is filed under the name Myotis davidii. It matches the Rfam family "tRNA". Rfam says of the family: Transfer RNA (tRNA) molecules are approximately 80 nucleotides in length. Lineage: Eukaryota; Metazoa; Chordata; Mammalia; Chiroptera; Vespertilionidae. The record is from Rfam by way of RNAcentral.